Molecule: non-coding RNA, 1201 nt
Organism: Oryza sativa Japonica Group (Japanese rice)
Lineage: Eukaryota; Viridiplantae; Streptophyta; Magnoliopsida; Poales; Poaceae
Source: RefSeq, a predicted model, not a curated record
ACUUUAUGCAUGGCUGCAGGUCAGUAGAGUUCGAUGAGAUUAAGAUGGAACACGUCUUCCGAACAUGCUGGAAGGUGAGUGCGAAGGUGGUGUUCAAAUCUCCCAUGCAGCAAAACAAAUUUGGUGCUCAAUAUAUUCGGUUUAUCCUAAAGGACACAACGGUAUGUCACACCAAUCACCUCUCUCCUCCUAAUUGCUAGAUAUAAUGGAGCGUUGUGCACAAAAGUUAUGGAAAUUAUGCCUUUAUUCUAUAUGUACAAUUUAAACGUAGGAUACAAGGAUGGAAGCACUAGCGUAUGACCAGCAAGCAGAUCGUUUUAAUGGAACCAUACAGAGUGGCUUAGUCUAUAAUUUUACUAAUGUGGGGUUCCAACCGACCGAUGUGCCUACCUAUGCCAACCUAACCAUGCAAGCUAAGUUUUGUAUGAUUCUGACACCAAAGACAGCCCUACGCAAGCCUCGUUUUGUAGACUUCAGUGCUAUUUUUACCGACGCGAUAAGUGAUGAUAUGUUCAUAGAUGUUGUUGGUGUGCUUAUAUACGUGGGAGAAAUACAUCAUCACCAACUUUAUGGACAAAGCUUACCUACUAGGGAUAUUGCCUUGGUUAAUCGUCGAUAUAAGGUAAUCUUUCUUCGAAUUUGGGGUGAAUAUGCAUCUCGACAUACAGUGUGGUGGCAAGCACUUGCAUCAUAGUAUUACUGCAUGUCUGCUACAUGUCUCAAGAAAUUAGAUAUUCUAACCGAGACAUUAACUACUACGGUGGACUCCGAAUUGACCAACUCUACAGAUUCACUCAGUGCACCUGAGUUGGGCGUGAUUCGUCGUUUAUUCGUUAGUUCUCGUGAGGAUGCUCAACGGUUCACUCAAGCAGUCGUUUCCUUGAGAGCGAAAUUUAUUACUAUUGCUUCCCUUUUAGACCGAUUGGAUCCUCAAGGAAUCAUCAGACGAGAUGUGCCUUUGAUACAACAAGAGGAUACUAUCGCCCGUUUUAAAAAAGCUUAAGAGAUUGCUUUUAGAUUCAUGAUUUUCGUUAUAUGUUUAACAUUUGUAGGGAUGCUCUGGUCUAUUAACGUUGUUUUUUGGGUCGUAGAAACAUAAAUUAAAAUGUCCUAUUAUUUCGAUUAUGAUGAUUUGUUAUGUCCGGAUUUGGUCCGGUAUGUUCGAACCAGAUAAAAAAACACAUGGUUUUCCGAUGAUGCA